UGCAAAACAGCGAAAAUUCCUAAAACUGAAUUAAUAGCAGACUGAAGUCUCUGCUUGGGAGAAAAUUAUCCACAGGAAUAAGGAAUGACCUGAGCCCUAGGACCAUGCCUCAGGACUACCUGGCUUGAUGACUCCUUGCUGUCCCCAGUCCACCUGGCCGUGCUGCUGCUCCAGUUCCAACUGUUCUGCCUGCGGCUAUGGAACCCUGACCUGUUCACCGGACGUGCUACCUGUCCCAGAUCUGCUGUCCCAGACCUGCUGGAACCCUGACCUGUUCACCGGACGUGCUACCUGUCCCAGACCUGCUGUUUUCAACUCUCUAGAGACAGCAAGAGCGAAUCCUGCUGGAACAUGGAAGGUUGCAAAUUGUUUCUCCGUAUUCUGAAUUCUGAGGAAACGUAAGGAGAAGAACAGCUUUCUAAAUCAAACGGGACACAUUUUGCCCAACGUGUUUGGGUCAUCUAAAGUAAGCAACAACAAAAACA
Molecule: long non-coding RNA, 485 nt
Filed under: Salmo salar (Atlantic salmon)
Lineage: Eukaryota; Metazoa; Chordata; Actinopteri; Salmoniformes; Salmonidae
Description: lncRNA (ENSSSAG00000083185.1)
Source: RNAcentral